Molecule: transfer RNA, 69 nt
Filed under: Stegastes leucostictus (beaugregory)
Lineage: Eukaryota; Metazoa; Chordata; Actinopteri; Pomacentridae
Description: tRNA-Phe
Rfam family: tRNA
About the family: Transfer RNA (tRNA) molecules are approximately 80 nucleotides in length.
Source: RNAcentral
GCUAACGUAGCUUAAAUUAAAGCAUAACGCUGAAGACGUUAAAAUGGGCCCUAGAAAGCCCCGCAAGCA